CCUACGGGGGGCAGCAGUGAGGAAUAUUGGUCAAUGGACGAGAGUCUGAACCAGCCAAGUAGCGUGAAGGAUGACUGCCCUAUGGGUUGUAAACUUCUUUUAUAUGGGAAUAAAAUGUUCCACGUGUGGGAUUUUGUAUGUACCAUAUGAAUAAGGAUCGGCUAACUCCGUGCCAGCAGCCGCGGUAAUAGGGAGGAUCCGAGCGUUAUCCGGAUUUAUUGGGUUUAAAGGGAGCGUAGGUGGAUUGUUAAGUCAGUUGUGAAAGUUUGCGGCUCAACCGUAAAAUUGCAGUUGAAACUGGCAGUCUUGAGAACAGAAGAGGUGUGCGGAAUGCGUGGUGUAGCGGGGAAAUGCUUAGAUACCACGAAGAACUCCGAUUGCGAAGGCAGUUCACUGGACUCCAACGGACGCUGAGGCUCGAAAGUGUGGGUAUCAAACAGGAUUAGAUACCCGUGUAGUC
Molecule: ribosomal RNA, 460 nt
Filed under: uncultured bacterium
Lineage: Bacteria
Description: partial 16S ribosomal RNA
Rfam family: Bacterial small subunit ribosomal RNA
Source: RNAcentral